This 1434-nucleotide ribosomal RNA is filed under the name uncultured organism. RNAcentral describes it as "16S ribosomal RNA". It matches the Rfam family "Bacterial small subunit ribosomal RNA". The record is from RNAcentral.
GUGCUUAACACAUGCAAGUCGAACGGAAAGGCCCUGCUUUUGUGGGGUGCUCGAGUGGCGAACGGGUGAGUAACACGUGAGUAACCUGCCCUUGACUUUGGGAUAACUUCAGGAAACUGGGGCUAAUACCGGAUAGGAGCUCCUGCUGCAUGGUGGGGGUUGGAAAGUUUCGGCGGUUGGGGAUGGACUCGCGGCUUAUCAGCUUGUUGGUGGGGUAGUGGCUUACCAAGGCUUUGACGGGUAGCCGGCCUGAGAGGGUGACCGGCCACAUUGGGGCUGAGAUACGGCCCAGACUCCUACGGGAGGCAGCAGUGGGGAAUAUUGCACAAUGGGCGGAAGCCUGAUGCAGCAACGCCGCGUGCGGGAUGACGGCCUUCGGGUUGUAAACCGCUUUCGCCUGUGACGAAGCGUGAGUGACGGUAAUGGGUAAAGAAGCACCGGCUAACUACGUGCCAGCAGCCGCGGUGAUACGUAGGGUGCGAGCGUUGUCCGGAUUUAUUGGGCGUAAAGGGCUCGUAGGUGGUUGAUCGCGUCGGAAGUGUAAUCUUGGGGCUUAACCCUGAGCGUGCUUUCGAUACGGGUUGACUUGAGGAAGGUAGGGGAGAAUGGAAUUCCUGGCGGAGCGGUGGAAUGCGCAGAUAUCAGGAGGAACACCAGUGGCGAAGGCGGUUCUCUGGGCCUUUCCUGACGCUGAGGAGCGAAAGCGUGGGGAGCGAACAGGCUUAGAUACCCUGGUAGUCCACGCUGUAAACGGUGGGUACUAGGUGUGGGGUCCAUUCCACGGGUUCCGUGCCGUAGCUAACGCUUUAAGUACCCCGCCUGGGGAGUACGGCCGCAAGGCUAAAACUCAAAGGAAUUGACGGGGCCCCGCACAAGCGGCGGAGCAUGCGGAUUAAUUCGAUGCAACGCGUAGAACCUUACCUGGGUUUGACAUGGAUCGGGAGUGCUCAGAGAUGGGUGUGCCUCUUUUGGGGUCGGUUCACAGGUGGUGCAUGGCUGUCGUCAGCUCGUGUCGUGAGAUGUUGGGUUAAGUCCCGCAACGAGCGCAACCCUUGUUCACUGUUGCCAGCACGUUAUGGUGGGGACUCAGUGGAGACCGCCGGGGUCAACUCGGAGGAAGGUGGGGAUGACGUCAAGUCAUCAUGCCCCUUAUGUCCAGGGCUUCACGCAUGCUACAAUGGCUGGUACAGAGAGUGGCGAGCCUGUGAGGGUGAGCGAAUCUCGGAAAGCCGGUCUCAGUUCGGAUUGGGGUCUGCAACUCGACCUCAUGAAGUCGGAGUCGCUAGUAAUCGCAGAUCAGCAACGCUGCGGUGAAUACGUUCCCGGGGCUUGUACACACCGCCCGUCAAGUCAUGAAAGUUGGUAACACCCGAAGCCGGUGGCCUAACCGUUGUGGGGGAGCCGUCGAAGGUGGGACUGGUGAUUAGGACUAAG